UUGCAACAGCAAGCAUGGACUUUGCAGACAGAAAGACUUGGGUUUGAAUCCCAGCUCUGUCACCAUCCGACUGUGUGAUAUGGGGUUUUGCAGGCUCAUCCUUGGGGCCAGGACUAUAGAGAGGCAAGUGACCAGACGCCGAAGACAAAAAUUCCUCCAGGUUCAAACUUGCCCUACCCUGCUUCGAUGCAUAAGCAGUUGACUCAAUAAAGAUGUGUCUCUGACCCAG
This 229-nucleotide long non-coding RNA is filed under the name Homo sapiens (human). Its description in RNAcentral is "VWA5B1 antisense RNA 1 (VWA5B1-AS1)". Lineage: Eukaryota; Metazoa; Chordata; Mammalia; Primates; Hominidae. The record is from RNAcentral.